GACAGAGGUGCCGAGCGUUAGGCGGAAUCACUGGGCUUAAAGCGUGUGUAGGCGGCCCGUUAAGUGUCUUGUGAAAUCCCCCGGCUCAACCGGGGAACUGCUGGGCAUACUGGCGGGCUUGGGUCGCUCAGGGGCAGACGGAACAGGCGGUGGAGCGGUGAAAUGCGUAGAUAUCGCCUGGAACGCCGAAGGUGAAAACAGUCUGCUGUGGGCGCACCGACGCUGAGACACGAAAGCCAGGGGAGCGAACGGG
This 253-nucleotide ribosomal RNA is filed under the name uncultured bacterium. Its description in RNAcentral is "partial 16S ribosomal RNA". It matches the Rfam family "Bacterial small subunit ribosomal RNA", at positions 524 to 776 of the family's 1533-position model. The record is from RNAcentral.